Molecule: non-coding RNA, 1367 nt
Organism: Poecilia reticulata (guppy)
Lineage: Eukaryota; Metazoa; Chordata; Actinopteri; Cyprinodontiformes; Poeciliidae
Source: RefSeq, a predicted model, not a curated record
GUGGUUCCGAUGGUUCUGAUGGUUCUGGUGGUUCCGGUGGUUCUGGUUCUGGAGGAGAGGAGUGGACUCUGUGGCGCCUCCUGCAGGCCUCGGAGAUGAAGAUCCUAGAACAUUUUCAUUGUUGACCUUUGACCUGAAGGUGGGUCACAGAGGAUGGCCCGGUUCUGUAAAUGGGUCGGGUCCGGAUCACGUGACCCAGAGAACCAGCAGGUCUUCCAACAUCUGGCGGCCCUGCUAAUCGGAUCGGGCCAGCUGCUGCGCUGAGGUUCUGAUCCAUUUACUGAUUGGUUAAUCACUCAGAGAUCACACUGAGCCGGUCAGAACCGCAGAGAACCGGGCCGGCAGGAGCAGACCGUUUCCAUGGGAACAGAGAGAAACCAUCACCAGGGAGGAUCUGCUCUGCUGGAUCAGAACCGGCCCGUAUAGGUUCUCCUGGUUCUGCCGGGGCAUCAUGGACAGACCGACCAGAACCGGAGUCCCUCCGACCCAAACGGACUCCUGACAGAUCCGCCCAGGCGCCUCGACGCAGCGAGGCGUGAAGCUGCAAACAGUGAGAAUCGGCGCCGCUGGUACCGGGCCAGAACCCUGACGGCUGCCUGGCAGGAGCCCAGCGGUGCCGACGGAGCAAACAGCCUGAAGACUGACGCGGCGGCUGGCACCCGAACGCACCGCGGCGCCGGUCCAGAGCCCGGAGCAGAUGGUGCCGCUGGUUCUGGUUCCAGCAUGUUCCUGUCACCACAGGCCCCGCCCCCUAUGCCCAGCCUGGCCUCUGAUUGGCUGCUGCUCCACACAGAAUCACACAGUUUCACACCCAGAACCUCUGGCUGAUGAUGAUGAUGAUGAUGAUGAUGAUGAUGAUGAUGAUGACCAAGCUGCUGGUCCCAGAAAACCUGGACCGGAUCAGAACCGAUCAGAACCCGGAAGUGAGGAGAAUCCGUCCUCACUUCCUGUCUGGGUCAUGUGACCUGCUCUGCCGGUUCCCCAGUCAGCUGACCUGCUGGACCUGGUUACCAACAAGUCCUAUCAAAACAGAGAGGAGACAUGCUAGCGUUAGCCUAGCGCUAACUGAGGUCAGAAACUCCAGUCAGCAGAAUCGGGUCCUGCAGGUCCUGGAAUAUCCUGGAACAUCCUGCAGGUCCUGGAACAUCCUGGAACAUCCUGCAGGUCCUGGAAUAUCCUGCAGGUCCUGGAAUAUCCUGCAGGUCCUGGAACAUCCUGCAGGUCCUGAUAUCAGAGGAGCAUCCUGGUCCUCCAGGUCUUUCAUUUUGCUGAAUUGUGGAUUUUUAUUAAUAUUUAUUAUGAGGUAUAAAAUGUUUACAGCAUGAAAAUGGAGACGGAAAUAAAAACUGAUUUCCAUGAAGUCGUCA